This is a long non-coding RNA of Apis mellifera (honey bee), 783 nucleotides long. RefSeq lists it as uncharacterized. The record is from RefSeq and is a predicted model, not a curated record. The transcript has 3 exons. Lineage: Eukaryota; Metazoa; Arthropoda; Insecta; Hymenoptera; Apidae.
AUACACACAUACACACACACAUAUAUAUAUAUAUAUAAAUGCAAGAUAAUCAAGACGUGGAAAAGUGAGAUUUGACAAGAUCGAGAGCAUUGACUUACCGAAGAAGCUGCUCCAUGCUUCGUUCCGUAACGGGAAAUCACUUGAUACAUCAGAGUCGAUGAACCGGCUACUUUCAUCGGGUUAUGUUCCAGGCAAGCGAUCGAUGUCUCGGCAAAAGGAACAAGAUGGUAUAAUCCACAGUAUCGGAAAUCCAUUGGUGAAGUUGACCUAAAUAAGAACCACUAAAGAACUAAGGAGAAGAUUCACUGUAUUCGUACGCGCGCAAACGAAUGACGCAACGCGAAAGUCGAACCAUCUGGUGUCGAAUCUAAUAAUCAAUGUCAAUCACGUGACUGAUCUUGGAUAUAAUAAAUAGUGUAGUAAUCGUUGUCACGUUGUGGAUACGGUCGUUCGGCCUGCGUAAGAUACGACGAUAAAAUAAAGAAAAUCGGCCUGUUAAAAAUCAGUACCCCAGGGAAGAGGGGAAAAUUUUUGAAUAGAAAGAAUGAUUAUCCUAUCCAAUUAUAUCGUAAUGGUAUUUCAUAUCUUUUUGAUUGUACAAAAUAUUAAAAACACUAAGAUGUGAAUCUCAAGAGUGGAUCUAUGCGCAAAAUAAUCCAAGACGACGUAGCAACCUUGACUUUUCUCCAGAGAAAUUUUCGAAUCAAAGAAAUGAAAAUACGAAUGAUAUUUCAUAUACGUAUCUUUUUGUACAAUAAAAUAAAAUAAUCUCAAGAAUGAUAA